GCCGAAGUGGCGGAACAGCAGACGCACUGGACUCAAAAUCCAGCGAUCGCAAGGUCAUGAGGGUGCAACUCCCUCCUUCGGCACCA
This 86-nucleotide transfer RNA is filed under the name Candidatus Staskawiczbacteria bacterium RIFCSPLOWO2_01_FULL_38_12b. RNAcentral describes it as "tRNA-Leu". It matches the Rfam family "tRNA". Rfam says of the family: Transfer RNA (tRNA) molecules are approximately 80 nucleotides in length. Their secondary structure includes four short double-helical elements and three loops (D, anti-codon, and T loops). Lineage: Bacteria; Candidatus Staskawicziibacteriota. RNAcentral also lists the same sequence under 1 other name. The record is from RNAcentral.